GUAUUAGGUUGGUGCAAAAGUAAUUGCAGUUUUUGUAAUUACUUUUAAUGGCAAAAGCUGCAAUUACUUUUGCAC
RNAcentral lists this microRNA precursor (75 nucleotides) under Saimiri boliviensis boliviensis (Bolivian squirrel monkey). RNAcentral describes it as "miRNA (ENSSBOG00000002774.1)". Lineage: Eukaryota; Metazoa; Chordata; Mammalia; Primates; Cebidae. The record is from RNAcentral.